UACGUAGGGGGCAAGCGUUAUCCGGGUUUACUGGGUGUAAAGGGAGCGUAGACGGCAGAGCAAGUCUGAAGUGAAAGCCCGCGGCCCAACUGCGGGACUGCUUUGGAAACUGCCCGGCUAGAGUGCUGGAGAGGUAAGCGGAAUUCCUAGUGUAGCGGUGAAAUGCGUAGAUAUUAGGAGGAACACCAGUGGCGAAGGCGGCUUACUGGACAGUAACUGACGUUGAGGCUCGAAAGCGUGGGGAGCAAACAGG
RNAcentral lists this ribosomal RNA (253 nucleotides) under uncultured bacterium. RNAcentral's name for it is "partial 16S ribosomal RNA". It matches the Rfam family "Bacterial small subunit ribosomal RNA", at positions 524 to 776 of the family's 1533-position model. The record is from RNAcentral.